CUGAGUGGCGGACGGGUGAGUAACGCGUGGGUAACCUGCCUCAUACAGGGGGAUAACAGUUAGAAAUGACUGCUAAUACCGCAUAAGACCACAGCACCGCAUGGUGCAGGGGUAAAAACUCCGGUGGUAUGAGAUGGACCCGCGUCUGAUUAGGUAGUUGGUGGGGUAACGGCCUACCAAGCCAACGAUCAGUAGCCGACCUGAGAGGGUGACCGGCCACAUUGGGACUGAGACACGGCCCAAACUCCUACGGGAGGCAGCAGUGGGGAAUAUUGCACAAUGGGGGAAACCCUGAUGCAGCGACGCCGCGUGAGCGAUGAAGUAUUUCGGUAUGUAAAGCUCUAUCAGCAGGGAAGAAAAUGACGGUACCUGACUAAGAAGCACCGGCUAAAUACGUGCCAGCAGCCGCGGUAAUACGUAUGGUGCAAGCGUUAUCCGGAUUUACUGGGUGUAAAGGGAGCGUAGACGGAGUGGCAAGUCUGAUGUGAAAACCCGGGGCUCAACCCCGGGACUGCAUUGGAAACUGUCAAUCUAGAGUACCGGAGAGGUAAGCGGAAUUCCUAGUGUAGCGGUGAAAUGCGUAGAUAUUAGGAGGAACACCAGUGGCGAAGGCGGCUUACUGGACGGUAACUGACGUUGAGGCUCGAAAGCGUGGGGAGCAAACAGGAUUAGAUACCCUGGUAGUCCACGCCGUAAACGAUGACUACUAGGUGUCGGGCAGCA
This 723-nucleotide ribosomal RNA is filed under the name uncultured bacterium. RNAcentral describes it as "bacterial SSU rRNA". It matches the Rfam family "Bacterial small subunit ribosomal RNA", at positions 91 to 832 of the family's 1533-position model. The record is from RNAcentral.